UACACUUCCAGCAAUUGAAUGCCUUGCCGGCGUAUCCGAGCAAGUGCACAUUGGCUUGAUUAACUAUAACAGUGAACGCUGAUGAAACAACUCAAGGUUUUGGAACAAAAACUAGAUAUCAUUUUACAUUUAUAACGUAUUCGAGCAGGUGCUCAUUGGCUUGAUUAACGAUAACAGUGAAGACUGAUGAAACAACUCAAGGUUUUGGAACAAAAACUAGAUAUCAUUUUACAUUUAUAACGUAUUCGAGCAGGUGCUCAUUGGCUUGAUUAACGAUAACAGUGAAGACUGAUGAAACAACUCAAGGUUUUGGAACAAAAACUAGAUAUCAUUUUACAUCGUCCAGAGCUGAUCGGAACUGAUAUAUAUAACUGAGUGUAAAGGAUUAAUGCUCAAGAUUGAAAACGUAUUCCGUCAAGCGCUGUAAUUUACUGGAAUCCAGUU
Molecule: long non-coding RNA, 444 nt
Filed under: Olea europaea (common olive)
Lineage: Eukaryota; Viridiplantae; Streptophyta; Magnoliopsida; Lamiales; Oleaceae
Description: long non-coding RNA (OEUR_LNC013956)
Source: RNAcentral